UGAUGCUCUGUUUUCAGUGAGAUUGCGAAGAACUUGCCACUUGCACCAGUAAAGCUCCAUUGCACUAUGCCUGCUGAAGAUGCAGUUAAAAUCAAAGAAGGUGAAUCUGGGAGAUAGCCUUGCAGAGACACCUUUGAAAGGUUCGUUUAUUAUUUCAAACUGCUUAAUUUUGUAGAUCAUGCCCCAAAAUAAAUAGGUCUCAACAUUAUUGCUGCUAGUAAUUGAUAGUCUGUCAAUUGGGUUGAGGCAGUUUAUGUUCAUUUUUCUCAUGUAUACUUCUAUUUCUCUGCAAGAUGUAUGAUACCCGUAUUAGCAAAUCUUAAGUGGUGAAGUCGAUUCAUGACCGUAAUGCUUGCAGUCUUGACCCCCCCCGGGUCACUGGUCAUGAUAAGCAUUUCAUAUUGUACAAACAAAAGUUUUGUUUUUCAUUGAGCUUUUUUGUGUCAAGCAAUAUGUGUAACUCCAUCUUAGCUUGCAGAAUACACAAGAACUGUUAGAUUUUAAUGCUUUUUUGUAUUUUUGUCCUAUUGUUGUAUCGACACAGUUUCAGUUCCUUUAGGUACACUUUACUUACCUUAAGCUCUCAACUAUUUGUUUGUUGUGUUGUUGGCUUAAUAAAACUGAUGUAACUCAGUUUCUUGUAUGUACCCAUGAGGAUCGUCAUGGUAUCCACCCGCACCCUCUUGUUGCCUUUCUAUGCGGUGCAUCAGCCUCCUAUAGAUGACCCAAAGCUUGCAGUAGCAUCAUCAUCAUCUCUGUCUCCUUCCUCACGAGCUUCAUGUCGUAGAUGAGGUCGCAACCGAGGUAUGCCCUCCUCUCCUCCCUUCUCCUGCCUAUCAAGUGCUUGUGUGAAAAGCAAUUUUAACCGAAAACCAAUCUCUGUUUGUUGUGAAGUGUAGUACAUAGUGUUAUUUUUCCUGCUGUUAAAUUUUACAGGUUGAGAAAUAUGUAGGUUAACAUCAUUUGGUUGAUAUUUUGCUUCUUGGUCUUUGUAGGAGUUGAUGUGAGAUUCAAUUCAAUUCUCUUUUACAUAUAUGGUCUUGGUAGGAGUUUUAGUUUUGUAGUGUCUUUUAAUUUGAUAUGAUUUCUAUUCUUCAAAAAUAUAAAUCAUGAGAGUAAAACUAAAUCUUCUUGUUGCAGUUUUGCAGUGCUCUUUUAAUUUGAUAUGAUUUCUAUUCUUCAAAAAUUUAACUUUGGAUACUCAUGUGUGUGCUAUUGAACUUAUAGGUUUGCAUCACGGAUGCCGUCGACGGUGGGCAUACAUGUUGUGGCGGAAGCUCAUUGCAUAUUGUAGGUUGAACUCAUGCUUUUGUUUGUUAACUCUUGUUGCAUAUGUACACAUGUUGUGAACCCUCCUUGAAUAUGUAUGUGUGUUUUUGUGAAACUAUGUUGGAUAUGUAUGCAUGUGUGGACUUUGAACUCAUCAUCUGUUUGUUAUUUUUGUGAACUUGUAAUAUAUUGGAUAUGUAUGCAUG
This 1475-nucleotide long non-coding RNA is filed under the name Hordeum vulgare. RNAcentral's name for it is "long non-coding RNA (HVUL_LNC003336)". Lineage: Eukaryota; Viridiplantae; Streptophyta; Magnoliopsida; Poales; Poaceae. The record is from RNAcentral.